GACGAACGCUGGCGGCGUGCUUAACACAUGCAAGUCGAACGGAAAGGCCCUGCUUGCAGGGUACUCGAGUGGCGAACGGGGGAGUAACACGUGGGUGAUCUGCCCUGCACUCCGGGAUAAGCCUGGGAAACUGGGUCUAAUACCGGAGAGGACCGCACUUGAGUGUGUGUGGUGGAAAGUUUUUUCGGUGUAGGAGGAGCUCGCGGCCUAUCAGCUUGUUGGUGGGGUAUUGGCCUACCAAGGCGGCGACGGGUAGCUGGCCUGAGAGGGGGUACGGCCACAUUGGGGCUGUGAUACGGCCCCGACUCCUCCGGGGGGCAGAAGUGGGGAAUAUUGCACAAUGGGCGCAAGCCUGAUGCAGCGACGCCGCGUGGGGGAUGAAGGCCUUCGGGUUGUAAACUCCUCUCGCUAGUGACGAAGCUUUGUUGUGACGGUACCUAGAAAAGAAGCACCGGCUAACUACGUG
Molecule: ribosomal RNA, 466 nt
Filed under: uncultured bacterium
Lineage: Bacteria
Description: partial 16S ribosomal RNA
Rfam family: Bacterial small subunit ribosomal RNA
Source: RNAcentral